This is a non-coding RNA of Misgurnus anguillicaudatus (oriental weatherfish), 1639 nucleotides long. Lineage: Eukaryota; Metazoa; Chordata; Actinopteri; Cypriniformes; Cobitidae. The record is from RefSeq and is a predicted model, not a curated record.
AUCCCGCCCCCUCGGCAGGACCAGAUCCCGCCCCCUCGGCAGGACCAGAUCCCGCCCACUUGGCAGGACCAGACCCGACAGUUCAGCAGGACCAGACCCCAACCGUUCAGCAGGACCAGACCCCAACCGUACGACAGGUCCAAAUCCUGACCGUUCGGCAGGUCUAGCUCUUGCCCGCUGGUCUCACAGCAGGACCAGAACCCGCCCGCUCGGCAGGACCAGAUCCGGCCUCUCGGCAGGACUAGAUCCCGCCCCCUCGGCAGGACUAGAUCCCGCCCCCUCGGCAGGACCAGACCCCGCCCGCUCGCUCAGCAGACAAGUUUUGUCCGUGAAGACAAAAAAAUGAAGCAGGCUUCAAUGAAGCAACCCCCAUCCUGAAAUACAAAUUAAAUAUUAUGUACACACGUGAAACUUGAGAUUAUUGGUUAACAAGUAUUUAAAACUGAGAUCUGGGUUUGUUUUAAAACUUUGAUUACUCAGUUAGCUGGAUUUUAUUGUUAAUACUUUUCUUUGAUCUAUUUGAGUCUUAAAAUCUUAUCCUGUAGUUGUUGUCAAGCAACAGAUUUAAAUGUUAAAACCUCUCCGGGGACCAGGCUUAGUUAACCAGAAAUGAGAGCUUUAUAAUUGAGGUGAUAGGGGAAGUCUGUCACAGCUUUGUCCUCUUCAUGUUUAUAAGAGUAAUCUGUUGAGGAUGCUGUGAUAUGAAUAUGUGUAAACUUAUAAAUUAGAAAAAUGUAAAUGUUAAAAAAUUUGACUUUUCCAUUCUUCUGUAAUAGUAACAGUAAACAGGAUAGAUUACAGAUGAGUACAGUGUACAAGCUUAAAAUACAGGUAUACAAUUCAACAUAACAUUUAACAUUAUUGUCAUAACUAAGUACCAGUUACAAUAACAUUAACUCAUAAGCAGACGUCAUGAGUUGCAGGAUUUCUUCCCCAUGGUUCCCAAAUGGCCACAGACAGACAGACAGACUGUAUAACUGAAUAUAACUGUAUAACCUCCAGCAAUGAAGAAGAUUCAAAGAAAGAAAGGAAGAAGUGUUAUACAGUGAAUUAUUAACACGUUUUGUUAGUUGAUUUAUUUGCAUUAUUUUUAAAAGUUUAUUUUGUACAUUGUUUUUCUGUAUUGAAUGACCUUCCUUUUUUAGGGAGUCAGACACACUUGAUCAGUCAGAUCGAGACUCGUCUGUUUAACCAAGCGUUCACCUGAUUUAUUACCUAAACAUGUUUAUGCUUCAAUAGUGAGGUUGACCUAAACCAAACACACAUCUAUCUUACUGUAAAACUUGUACAUUAUAUAUCAGCAGCCUCCAAACUAACAUCAGCUUGUUUUGUCUGCAUGUCUCAUGCUUUUGUUUUCAGACUCAGCUCCGGUUCAGUGUGAUGCUCAAUGAUGACUGCAGCCAUCAACCAGAAGCAAUGAAAUCUGUGAUGAUCAAAACCUUCAACUUUGCAUCCCAGGAUCUGUCGCCGAAAUGCAUCGAUGCGAGUAAGUGAAGCAACUGUGAGGAUGAGACGGUCCACAUGCUCCUAAACUGUGAUGCAUUUUUUUUUGAUGUUUAUUGUUGUUUUAAAUCAAAAACCAUGGUAACUACACUUUUACUAUAAUGAAACCAUAAUUACUUUUUAUAAGAGUCUGUCC